UAUCAUGUAAAUAUAUAUGGCCUCAGUCAUUGUAAACCAAUAAUAUUUCUAUGUCAGGACGGAUCGUAUGAUAAAAAUGACACCAACUUUGGAACACAAUACACCUUAUUGCUAAUCCUGGCUGACCCGGCCUCUUGAACUUUUGAAGCAUACAACAAUCACUUUUCCAUUGUGGCGUCAGAUAUUUUGUUUUAUGACGUCAAAUUUUUACGGGAACCUGUGUGAUAUCCAGUAAUGGCAGACAAAUAGCGAUAAGGUGUAUUUAUACCAUAUCUAAAAAUUUAGCGCGCCGUUAUUUCCUCUCUGUAUCCAUAAUAAUGAAC
This 323-nucleotide long non-coding RNA is filed under the name Mytilus galloprovincialis (Mediterranean mussel). Lineage: Eukaryota; Metazoa; Mollusca; Bivalvia; Mytilida; Mytilidae. The record is from RNAcentral.